CUACGGAGGGUGCAAGCGUUAUCCGGAAUCAUUGGGUUUAAAGGGUCCGUAGGCGGACUAAUAAGUCAGGGGUGAAAUCCCACAGCUUAACUGUGGAACUGCCUUUGAUACUGUUAGUCUUGAGUUAUGUGGAAGUAGAUAGAAUGUGUAGUGUAGCGGUGAAAUGCUUAGAGAUUACACAGAAUACCGAUUGCGAAGGCAGUCUACUACAUAUAUACUGACGCUAAUGGACGAAAGCGUGGGGAGCGAACAGAAUUAGAAACCCUAGUAGUCC
This 274-nucleotide ribosomal RNA is filed under the name uncultured bacterium. RNAcentral describes it as "partial 16S ribosomal RNA". It matches the Rfam family "Bacterial small subunit ribosomal RNA", at positions 523 to 796 of the family's 1533-position model. The record is from RNAcentral.